RNAcentral lists this long non-coding RNA (591 nucleotides) under Homo sapiens (human). RNAcentral describes it as "HSALNT0396330". Lineage: Eukaryota; Metazoa; Chordata; Mammalia; Primates; Hominidae. The record is from RNAcentral.
UUUUCAGACUCAGCCCACUUGCACCCAAGUGAAUUAACAGCCUUGUUGCUCACACAAAGCCUGUUUAGGUGGUCUUCUAUACGGACAUGCUUGACACUUGGUGCCAAAAUCUGGGCCAGGGGGACUCCUUCGUGAGACCGGCCCCCUGUCCUGGCCCUCAUUCCGUGAAGAGAUCCACCUGCGACCUCGGGUCCUCAGACCAGCCCAAGGAACAUCUCACCAAUUUCAAAUCGGCCCCUUCUAGGGUCCCUGGAGCUCUGGCUCAAAGCUCUCUGGCUGACUCCUUCCCAGAUCUCCUCGGCUUAGUGGCUGAAGACUGAUGCUGCCCGAUCGCCUCAGAAGCCCCUUGGACCAUCACAGAUGCCGAGCUUCGGGUAACUCUUACGGUGGAGGGAUCUGCAAUCAGAACUAUUGAACUUCUCCAUUCAGACCGCCACUCACACCUAUGGGAAAAGGGUAAUGUAUCAUCGGCUUAGCAACAGGGAAUACUAUUCGUAUGAUGGAAAAUGGGGACAAAAGGCUUUGGUACAUAAAACAUUAUUCCUUCCUUGGCCUAAAAACUCAUCGCCACCUACAUUAAAGCUAAUAUGC